Molecule: ribosomal RNA, 887 nt
Filed under: uncultured bacterium
Lineage: Bacteria
Description: bacterial SSU rRNA
Rfam family: Bacterial small subunit ribosomal RNA
Source: RNAcentral
GCAGUCGACGGCAGCACAGUGUAGCAAUACAUGGGUGGCGAGUGGCGCACGGGUGCGUAACACGUAUGCAAUUUACCCAUAACUGGGGGAUAGCCCUCCGAAAGGAGGAUUAAUACCCCAUAACCCAGCGAGGUGGCAUCACUUUUCUGGUAAAUCUCCGGAGGUUAUGGAUGAGCAUGCGUCCGAUUAGCUAGUUGGUGAGGUAACGGCUCACCAAGGCAACGAUCGGUAGGGGGUCUGAGAGGAUGAUCCCCCACACGGGUACUGAGACACGGACCCGACUCCUACGGGAGGCAGCAGUAAGGAAUAUUGGACAAUGGAGGCAACUCUGAUCCAGCCAUGCCGCGUGAAGGAUGAAGGCGCUACGCGUUGUAAACUUCUUUUCUCUUAGAAAAAACUACUGGUUUCGUACCGGUACUGAUUGUACAAGAGGAAUAAGCAUCGGCUAACUUCGUGCCAGCAGCCGCGGUAAUACGAAGGAUGCAAGCGUUAUCCGGAUUCACUGGGUUUAAAGGGUGUGCAGGUGGGGUAAUAAGUCAGUGGUGAAAGCCCCCGACUCAAUCGGGGAACUGCCAUAGAUACUGUUAUUCUUGAGUGUAGUUGAGGCGGAUGGAAUAUGACAUGUAGCGGUGAAAUGCUUAGAUAUGUCAUAGAACACCGAUCGCGAAGGCAGUCCGCCAAACUAUUACUGACACUGAAACACGAAAGUGCGGGGAUCAAACAGGAUUAGAUACCCUGGUAGUCCGCACCGUANACGAUGAUCACUCGUUGUUGGCGAUACACAGUCAGCGACUAAGCGAAAGCAUUAAGUGAUCCACCUGGGAAGUACGACCGCAAGGUUGAAACUCAAAGGAAUUGACGGGGGCCCGCACAAGCGGAGGAGCAUG